CGCUCCUCUGCGGAGGGUUUCCCUAAGAAGGUGGGCCUAGCAGGGUCACCGGGGGACGGGGAGCUGUGCCUCACUGCCCUGCCCUCGUCGGAGAAACCCUCGUGCAGAGGACUUCAGAAAGCCAGAAACUUGUGUGUUGAGUAUGUCCUUGUGAGCCUCCACCAUUUACUGGUGGGUGCAGCCUGGACUGUCUAGAGACAGACCAGACCAGCUGCACAACACAGACACUUCAAACCUCAUCUGAGGACAAAAACUACAAGAACAAUAGAAACAAAAAAGAAAACGUAGCUUAGGACCGUGCAGGGUUACACAGGAGACGGCAGCACUGCAGAGGUGAGGACCGGCAGCUGUCUGAAAGAGACAAAACAAUACACACAAACACACACAACAACAGAGGAGAAACAAACAGAGAGAGGGGGAAAAGUGGUUAUCACGAACUUGAGGACAUUACCUACAUAUAAAUAAUUAUGAAUUAUUAUAAAUUUGUUGGGGUUUUUUUGUUAACAAUGUCAGAAGGAGAGAGGCACUGAGGCACCGUCUUCCGCCCCCCGACACUCCUGCUGUGCCUUCUCCUUCUGACAGGAAGUGCCUACAGUGCAAGUAUGAAUGAUGCCUGAAUGGACGUACACAACUCAGAGGUGAGCCUUUGUGAGUCUUUUUUCUGUUAGUGAACAACUGAUAAAUAGAAAAAAGAAGGAAAACUUAUCUUAGAAAUCUGUAGGUUUGUUUCCUCUGAGACAUGCUGGAAUCUGUAAACAGUUACUCUCAAAAGGAUCUAGGUAUUUCAAAAUACUUCACUGUUAAAAGUUUCAAUUCUGCAAACAUAAACUGAUUAACGAAGCUGCGAUUACCGAACUAAAAGUCAUCGCUUUUCACCCCUAUUUAUGGAUUUAGAGAUCAAAAGAUCAAAGGAUCAAAGUUUUUUUGUAAGAGUCUAAAUAUAUGUGACGUCAACAUCCCAUGACAUUUGUGGACCCUGGUAUUCUUUUUACUUGGAGAAUUUAU
This 1005-nucleotide long non-coding RNA is filed under the name Oreochromis niloticus (Nile tilapia). RNAcentral describes it as "lncRNA (ENSONIG00000034030.1)". The record is from RNAcentral. Lineage: Eukaryota; Metazoa; Chordata; Actinopteri; Cichliformes; Cichlidae.